Long non-coding RNA from Phycodurus eques (leafy seadragon), 999 nucleotides. RefSeq lists it as uncharacterized. The record is from RefSeq and is a predicted model, not a curated record. The transcript is spliced from 2 exons. Lineage: Eukaryota; Metazoa; Chordata; Actinopteri; Syngnathiformes; Syngnathidae.
CAUCAUGAGACGCAGACCGCACAAGCAACUGAUCAACAGUACCUGGACCAUUGCGCAGCUUCAAACAGGAUGUUGUUAGAGGGAAGUGGCAACUCAUCUUAGAUUAUCAAAGUGCCUGCAUCAGGUUGCAACAGAGAGACUGAAAGAGUCACAGAAAAGCAUAGAAGUGGAAGAAGUCCUCGAAAUUCUUUAUGGAUCAAACACCCAUUGUGAGUGUUACAGUUCAGAGGAGCAAGUUGUGCAAAAAGUACUGAAACACUGAAGAGUUGGAUUUAAAAGUUUAGAGAAGGAAAUUUAGUUCACCUGCAAAGGUUUUUCAUCUGAAAUUAGCGCUGCUGGCUUGGGCUGCGUACUGAUUAUCUGGUCACCGCUUCCCGUGAUGCAGAGGAGCCUCUGAGCCGAACAAGUUCUCCGCACUCCGGUCCUGGUGCUACUCUGAGAGUGCUCCGUGCUGGGGGACCGAACAUCACUGGGCCUCUCUUCCUGGGUGUCCUGCUGAAUGCUGGACAAUGGUGACGUAACUGGAUCACUCUUCUGUUGGCGGUUUUGUGGGGCAACUGUGGGUCCUUCUGUGUACUCAUUGCAGCUCCCAGUUAUCCUCAUCUGAUCCAAUGCCAUCACACCCUCGUGGGCUAGCAAUGGCUUUGGCUGCAGCCUUCCAUCCUCCUGCGAUGACCGCCUGCGGUGUUCUCCUCCUCCGUCGUUGAAGCUCUGAUUUCCGGUAUCCAUCGUGGGACUGAAAGGCCACUUGGGCCGGCAUGGGACACAUCUGAAAUCCUGCAAGAGAGGCAGAUAGCUUUUACCAAGCCACCAUGCAAAUGAUGCAUGCAAAUGAUAACAGAUGCCGAAGCGGGCAAAUGUGACAAACAUUGCGGUCAGACAACCCAAUGUGUCGCAGUGAAUUUGAUGUUUGUGCAGCUCUAUCUUAUGUUUUGGGGUUGAGGAUACAAGAGUGCACACUUUCAACAAAUAAGUACUCUAAUAAAAUGUCACCGUUUA